GACGGGAACCCGCACAAGCGGUGGAGUAUGUUGUUUAAUUCGAAGAUACACGAAGAACCUUACCAGGUCUUGACAUACCAUUGACAGGCGCAGAGAUGUGCUCUUCUUCGGACAAUGGAUACAGGUGGUGCAUGGUUGUCGUCAGCUCGUGCCGUGAGGUGUUGGGUUAAGUCCCGCAACGAGCGCAACCCCUAUUGCUAGUUACUAACAUUAAGUUGAGGACUCUAGUGAGACUGCCAGUGACAAACUGGAGGAAGGUGGGGAUGACGUCAAAUCAUCAUGCCCUUUAUGACCUGGGCUACAAACGUACUACAAUGGCCAAUACAAAGAGAUGCGAAGUUGUGAGAUGGAGCGAACCUCAAAAAAAUGGUCUCAGUUCAGAUUGAAGUCUGCAACUCGACUUCAUGAAGGCGGAAUCGCUAGUAAUCGCGGGUCAGCAGACCGCGGUGAAUACGUUCCCGGGUUUU
RNAcentral lists this ribosomal RNA (467 nucleotides) under uncultured Bacillota bacterium. RNAcentral's name for it is "bacterial SSU rRNA". It matches the Rfam family "Bacterial small subunit ribosomal RNA", at positions 912 to 1382 of the family's 1533-position model. Lineage: Bacteria; Bacillati; Bacillota. The record is from RNAcentral.